This is a long non-coding RNA of Ochotona curzoniae (black-lipped pika), 280 nucleotides long. RefSeq lists it as uncharacterized. The record is from RefSeq and is a predicted model, not a curated record. NCBI's taxonomy places the organism in Eukaryota, Metazoa, Chordata, Mammalia, Lagomorpha, Ochotonidae. The transcript has 3 exons.
UUAGCUAUAGAUUUCCACCAGCACAGGCAGAGCCAGAGGCAGCCAAUCACCUCACUAAGGCUAACCACCAAACUCUUGGAGUUUCCUUGGAGAGUGUUCAUUGUUCAUCAUGGAACCUGCUAUGUUGUGUUAAGCAGAUGACACAAGCAUGGCUGGCCACAUCAGAAACAACAAGACUGAAUCCAUGCAGUGUAAUGGUGUUGCUGCCAGGACUGUGGACCCCAAGGCUCUGCUCAACAUUGCGAGCAUCUGCUUAAUGUGUCUACAGAGCAAGAAGCCC